RNAcentral lists this ribosomal RNA (509 nucleotides) under uncultured bacterium. RNAcentral's name for it is "partial 16S ribosomal RNA". It matches the Rfam family "Bacterial small subunit ribosomal RNA", at positions 28 to 523 of the family's 1533-position model. The record is from RNAcentral.
GACGAACGCUGGCGGCGUGCUUAACACAUGCAAGUGGUGCGACGAACCAGGCUUCGGCCUGGGGCAGAGCCGCGAACGGGUGAGUAACACGUGGGCAACCUGCCCUGUUGAUCGGGACAACCCGGGGAAACCCGGGCUAAUACCGAAUGUGGUGCCGGCUCAUGAGAGCCGUCACGAAAGGAAGCUUCGGCCUCCGCGACAGGAUGGGCCCGCGGCCCAUUAGCUUGUUGGUGGGGUAAUGGCCUACCAAGGCAACGAUGGGUAGCUGGUCUGAGAAGACGAUCAGCCACACUGGGACUGAGACACGGCCCAGACUCCUACGGGAGGCUGCAGUGGGGAAUCUUGCGCAAUGGGCGACAGCUUGACGCAGCAACGCCGCGUGGGGGAAGAAGGCUUUCGGGUCGUAGACCCCUUUCAGUUAGGACGAAGCUUUAUUGGUUAAUAACCAAUUGGAGUGACGGUACUUUCAGAAGAAGCCCCGGCUAACUACGUGCCAGCAGCCGCGGUAA